AGUGGUUGUCGUCAGCUCGUGUCGUGAGAUGUUGGGUUAAGUCCCCGCAACGAGCGCAACCCCUAUUGCUAGUUACCAUCAUUAAGUUGGGGACUCUAGCGAGACUGCCAGUGAUAAACUGGAGGAAGGUGGGGAUGACGUCAAGUCAUCAUGGCCCUUACGGCCUGGGCUACACACGUGCUACAAUGGUCGGUACAAAGGGUUGCCAAGCCGCGAGGUGGAGCUAAUCCCAUAAAACCGAUCGUAGUCCGGAUCGCAGUCUGCAACUCGACUGCGUGAAGUCGGAAUCGCUAGUAAUCGUGAAUCAGAAUGUCACGGUGAAUACGUUCCCGGGCCUU
Molecule: ribosomal RNA, 338 nt
Filed under: uncultured Pseudomonas sp.
Lineage: Bacteria; Pseudomonadati; Pseudomonadota; Gammaproteobacteria; Pseudomonadales; Pseudomonadaceae
Description: bacterial SSU rRNA
Rfam family: Bacterial small subunit ribosomal RNA
Source: RNAcentral